GGGAAUAUGGCUUAGUGGAAGAGUGCUUGCCUAGAAUGCAUGAGGCCCUGGGUUCAAUUCCUCAGUACCA
RNAcentral lists this transfer RNA (70 nucleotides) under Dipodomys ordii (Ord's kangaroo rat). It matches the Rfam family "tRNA". Rfam says of the family: Transfer RNA (tRNA) molecules are approximately 80 nucleotides in length. Lineage: Eukaryota; Metazoa; Chordata; Mammalia; Rodentia; Heteromyidae. The record is from Rfam by way of RNAcentral.